GUAGGGUUCCUAGCGAGCCCAACCUCCCACCCGUGUUUACUGUACCUUAGUUGCUUCGGCGGGCCCGCCAUUCAUGGCCGCCGGGGGCUCUCAGCCCCGGGCCCGCGCCCGCCGGAGACACCACGAACUCUGUCUGAUCUAGUGAAGUCUGAGUUGAUUGUAUCGCAAUCAGUUAAAACUUUCAACAAUGGAUCUCUUGGUUCCGGCAUCGAUGAAGAACGCAGCGAAAUGCGAUAACUAGUGUGAAUUGCAGAAUUCCGUGAAUCAUCGAGUCUUUGAACGCACAUUGCGCCCCCUGGUAUUCCGGGGGGCAUGCCUGUCCGAGCGUCAUUGCUGCCCAUCAAGCACGGCUUGUGUGUUGGGUCGUCGUCCCCUCUCCGGGGGGGACGGGCCCCAAAGGCAGCGGCGGCACCGCGUCCGAUCCUCGAGCGUAUGGGGCUUUGUCACCCGCUCUGUAGGCCCGGCCGGCGCUUGCCGAACGCAAA
Molecule: ribosomal RNA, 485 nt
Filed under: Aspergillus flavus
Lineage: Eukaryota; Fungi; Ascomycota; Eurotiomycetes; Eurotiales; Aspergillaceae
Description: eukaryotic LSU rRNA
Rfam family: 5.8S ribosomal RNA (bases 177-330)
Source: RNAcentral